UACUCAGAGUGGAUCUGAGAGGUAUCUGC
RNAcentral lists this non-coding RNA (29 nucleotides) under Homo sapiens (human). The record is from RNAcentral. Lineage: Eukaryota; Metazoa; Chordata; Mammalia; Primates; Hominidae.